GCCGGGCGUGGUGGUGCACGCCUGUAAUUCCAGUGGCUUGGGGGCCUGAGGCAGGAGAAUCAAAGUUCAAAGUCAGUCUCAGCAAAGGUGAGGCACUUAGCAAUUCAAUGAGAUCCUGCCUCUA
RNAcentral lists this small RNA (124 nucleotides) under Marmota monax (woodchuck). Lineage: Eukaryota; Metazoa; Chordata; Mammalia; Rodentia; Sciuridae. The record is from RNAcentral.